UGGUUCCGCCCGGGAUCGAACCGGGGACCUUUCGCGUGUAAAGCGAACGUGAUAACCAUUACACCACGAAACC
This 73-nucleotide transfer RNA is filed under the name Cordylochernes scorpioides. RNAcentral describes it as "tRNA-Val". The record is from RNAcentral. Lineage: Eukaryota; Metazoa; Arthropoda; Arachnida; Pseudoscorpiones; Chernetidae.